Molecule: ribosomal RNA, 208 nt
Filed under: uncultured bacterium
Lineage: Bacteria
Description: partial 16S ribosomal RNA
Rfam family: Bacterial small subunit ribosomal RNA
Source: RNAcentral
CGUGUAGGCGGUUCGGUAAGUGAGAUGUGAAAGCCCCCGGCUCACCCGGGGAGGUGCAUUUCAUACUGCCGGACUUGAGUACGGAAGAGGAUGGGGGAAUUCCUGGUGUAGCGGUGAAAUGCGUAGAUAUCAGGAGGAACACCGGUGGCGAAGGCGCCCAUCUGGUCCCGUUACUGACGCUGAGGCGCGAAAGCUAGGGGAGCGAACG